GGUUAGUCGAUCCUAAGAGAUGGGGAAGCUCCGUUUCAAAGUACUUGAUUUUUCAAGUCACCAUCGAAAGGGAAUCCGGUUAAAAUUCCGGAACCUAGAUAUGGAUUCUUCACGGUAACGUAACUGAAUGUGGAGACGUCGGCGUGAGCCCUGGGAGGAGUUCUCUUUUCUUCUUAACAGCUUAUCACCCUGGAAUUGGUUUAUCCGGAGAUAGGGUCUUAUGGCUGGAAGAGCGCAAUACUUUUGUUGCGUCCGGUGCGCUUACGACGGUCCUUGAAAAUCCACAGGAAGGAAUAGUUUUCAUGCUAGGUCGUACUCAUAACCGCAGCAGGUCUCCAAGGUGAACAGCCUCUAGUUGAUAGAAUAAUGUAGAUAAGGGAAGUCGGCAACAUAGAUCCGUAACCUCGGGAAAA
This 413-nucleotide ribosomal RNA is filed under the name Attheya septentrionalis. Its description in RNAcentral is "partial Eukaryotic large subunit ribosomal RNA". It matches the Rfam family "Eukaryotic large subunit ribosomal RNA", at positions 1533 to 1944 of the family's 3401-position model. Lineage: Eukaryota; Bacillariophyta; Biddulphiophyceae; Attheyales; Attheyaceae. The record is from RNAcentral.